This 431-nucleotide ribosomal RNA is filed under the name uncultured bacterium. RNAcentral describes it as "partial 16S ribosomal RNA". It matches the Rfam family "Bacterial small subunit ribosomal RNA", at positions 29 to 507 of the family's 1533-position model. The record is from RNAcentral.
AACGAACGCUGGCGGCAGGCUUAACACAUGCAAGUCGAGCGCCCCGCCAGGGGAGCGGCCGACGGGUGAGUAACGCGUGGGAACGUACCUUUUGGUUCGGAACAACUCCGGGAAACUGGAGCUAAUACCGGAUAAGCCCUAACGGGGAAAGGUUUAUCGCCGAAAGAUCGGCCCGCGUCUGAUUUGCUGUUGGGUGGGGUAACGGCGCACCAAGGCGACGAUCAGUAGCUGGUCUGGGAGGAUGAUCAGCCACACGGGGACUGAGACACGGCCCAGACUCCUACGGGAGGCAGCAGUGGGGAAUAUUGGACAAUGGGCGCAAGCCUGAUCCAGCCAUGCCGCGUGAGUGAUGAAGGCCUUAGGGUUGUAAAGCUCUUUUGUCCGGGAAGAUAAUGACGGUACCGGAAGAAUAAGCCCCGGCUAACUUCGUG